Long non-coding RNA from Rana temporaria (common frog), 320 nucleotides. RefSeq lists it as uncharacterized. The transcript has 2 exons. Lineage: Eukaryota; Metazoa; Chordata; Amphibia; Anura; Ranidae. The record is from RefSeq and is a predicted model, not a curated record.
GUUAGUAAUUUAUUUAUUCAGGCUUGGAAAUGUACUGAGAAGUCUACAUUAAGGUACACUUGACAAUAACUAUGUAAAAUAUGUGCGCCUUCAUGUUCUAGGUGGAGAGACAAACAGGACUACAUUCUGAGAUGACAGAUGUCACCUUUCACUGAGUUCUCUGGAUUCCAGGCUUUUCGCAGCCUCUCAUUAAAUGGUUCUGUGAUAUGAACGCCCCCUCCCAAGACCUACAAAGCAAUGUGGAAGAUGAACAAAUGAUGUGCUGAAUUUUCCCUGACUUGGAAUCGGGGUCAUUCAAUAAAUAAGGAUAGUAGAAGAUG